GAGAGAGGUCACAACUAGCGAACAUUGCUAAAUCCUCGCUACCUGGGUUAAACCCCCGGGCUCACUCG
RNAcentral lists this transfer RNA (68 nucleotides) under Hoplolatilus cuniculus (dusky tilefish). RNAcentral's name for it is "tRNA-Ser". Lineage: Eukaryota; Metazoa; Chordata; Actinopteri; Malacanthidae. The record is from RNAcentral.